GUGGGGAAUCUUGCGCAAUGGGCGAAAGCCUGACGCAGCCAUGCCGCGUGAAUGAUGAAGGUCUUAGGAUUGUAAAAUUCUUUCACCGGGGACGAUAAUGACGGUACCCGGAGAAGAAGCUCCGGCUAACUUCGUGCCAGCAGCCGCGGUAAUACGAAGGGGGCUAGCGUUGCUCGGAAUUACUGGGCGUAAAGGGCGCGUAGGCGGACAGCUUAGUCAGAGGUGAAAGCCCAGGGCUCAACCUUGGAAUUGCCUUUGAUACUGGCUGUCUUGAGUUUGGGAGAGGUGAGUGGAACUCCGAGUGUAGAGGUGAAAUUCGUAGAUAUUCGGAAGAACACCAGUGGCGAAGGCGGCUCACUGGCUCGAUACUGACGCUGAGGUGCGAAAGCGUGGGGAGCAAACAGGAUUAGAUACCCUAGUAGUCC
RNAcentral lists this ribosomal RNA (425 nucleotides) under uncultured bacterium. RNAcentral's name for it is "partial 16S ribosomal RNA". It matches the Rfam family "Bacterial small subunit ribosomal RNA", at positions 354 to 796 of the family's 1533-position model. The record is from RNAcentral.